Molecule: unclassified non-coding RNA, 24 nt
Filed under: Mus musculus (house mouse)
Lineage: Eukaryota; Metazoa; Chordata; Mammalia; Rodentia; Muridae
Description: oocyte_clustered_small_RNA11628
Source: RNAcentral
UAGGAAGGACGAGACUGCAGAGUU